Non-coding RNA from Paramuricea clavata, 230 nucleotides. Lineage: Eukaryota; Metazoa; Cnidaria; Anthozoa; Malacalcyonacea; Plexauridae. The record is from the annotation of a GenBank genome assembly.
UCCACUGUUGCGUUUUUCAUACGUACGUAUACGCACGUAAAACUUUAAAUUCGUUUAAAUGUUACUUAUGAAAUAACCCGAUAAAUAGAGCAACAGAAUUUAGUGUUCCGCAAGUUUUAGUAUGCAUUUGUUAACUCAUUCGUAAAAUAUUUAAAAAAUAGAAGAAUUCUAGAAUUAAUAGAAGAAAGUUUUACGUGCGUGUACGUGCGUACGAAAAACGCAACAGUGGA